RNAcentral lists this long non-coding RNA (200 nucleotides) under Medicago truncatula (barrel medic). Its description in RNAcentral is "long non-coding RNA (MTRU_LNC003357)". Lineage: Eukaryota; Viridiplantae; Streptophyta; Magnoliopsida; Fabales; Fabaceae. The record is from RNAcentral.
AAGUGUAGAUUUUUGCAGUCCUAUAUAGGGGCAAUGUCGUUUUAUACACUCGGAUAUGGGCAUUCCGCAUGGCAAUAUGUUAUUCUGAUUUUUGUUUUUACUUUGAGAAGACAUGGUUGAGUAAGUAGUGGUUAACUUUUAUAAGACUCAAUAACCCCUUGUACUUGAAGCGGGAAGGACCUUGCGUUUUGCUCUUAUAU